UACGUAGGGUGCAAGCGUUGUCCGGAAUUAUUGGGCGUAAAGAGCUCGUAGGCGGUUUGUCGCGUCUGCUGUGAAAACUCGGGGCUUAACCCCGGAUCUGCGGUGGGUACGGGCAGACUAGAGUGAUGUAGGGGAGACUGGAAUUCCUGGUGUAGCGGUGAAAUGCGCAGAUAUCAGGAGGAACACCGAUGGCGAAGGCAGGUCUCUGGGCAUUAACUGACGCUGAGGAGCGAAAGCAUGGGGAGCGAACAGG
Molecule: ribosomal RNA, 253 nt
Filed under: uncultured bacterium
Lineage: Bacteria
Description: partial 16S ribosomal RNA
Rfam family: Bacterial small subunit ribosomal RNA
Source: RNAcentral